This 238-nucleotide ribosomal RNA is filed under the name uncultured bacterium. RNAcentral describes it as "partial 16S ribosomal RNA". It matches the Rfam family "Bacterial small subunit ribosomal RNA", at positions 96 to 334 of the family's 1533-position model. The record is from RNAcentral.
CGGCGGACGGGUGAGUAACGCGUGGGUAACCUGCCUCACACAGGGGGAUAACAGUUAGAAAUGACUGCUAAUACCGCAUAAGCGCACGGUACCGCAUGGUACAGUGUGAAAAACUCCGGUGGUGUGAGAUGGAUCCGCGUCUGAUUAGGUAGUUGGUGAGGUAACGGCCCACCAAGCCGACGAUCAGUAGCCGACCUGAGAGGGUGACCGGCCACAUUGGGACUGAGACACGGCCCAA